AUUGAACGCUGGCGGCAGGCUUAACACAUGCAAGUCGAGCGAGCGGCGGACGGGUGAGUAAUGUCUGGGAAACUGCCUGAUGGAGGGGGAUAACUACUGGAAACGGUAGCUAAUACCGCAUACCAUCAGAUGUGCCCAGAUGGGAUUAGCGAGUAGGUGGGGUAAGGGCUCACCUAGGCGACGAUCCCUAGCUGGUCUGAGAGGGUGACCGGCCACACUGGAACUGAGACACGGUCCAGACUCCUACGGGAGGCAGCAGUGGGGAAUCUUGCACAAUGGGCGCAAGCCUGAGAGAGCCAUGCCGCGUGUGUGAAGAAGGCCUUCGGGUUGUAAAGCACUUUCAGUGAGGAAGCGUUACUCACAGAGGAAGCACCGGCUAACUCCGUGCCAGCAGCCGCGGUAAUAC
RNAcentral lists this ribosomal RNA (406 nucleotides) under uncultured bacterium. Its description in RNAcentral is "partial 16S ribosomal RNA". It matches the Rfam family "Bacterial small subunit ribosomal RNA", at positions 30 to 526 of the family's 1533-position model. The record is from RNAcentral.